GUUCGGAUUUACUGGGCAUAAAGAGCACGUAGGCGGCUCGCUCAGUCGGGUGUGAAAGCCCACGGCCCAACCGUGGAACUGCACCCGAUACUGGCGAGCUCGAGGACGGAAGGGGUGAGUGGAACUCCAGGUGGAACGGUGAAAUGUAUAGAUAUCUGGAGGAACACCGGUGGCGAAAGCGGCUCACUGGUCCGUCUCUGACGCUGAGGUGCGAAAGCUAGGGUAGCGAACGGGAUUAGAUACCCCGGUAGUCCUAGCCGUAAACGAUGGGCACUAGGCAAUGGGCCCUCCUAUGAGGUUCAUUGCCGGAGCUAAUGUGUUAAGUGCCCCGCCUGGGGAGUACGCUCGCAAGGGUAAAACUCAAAGGAAUUGACGGGGGAUCACACAAGCGGUGGAGCAUGUUGUUUAAUUCGAAGCAACGCGAAGAACCUUACCAGGCCUUGACAUGUACGGAUUAGCCACGUGAAAGCGUGGUGACAGCUCUUCGGAGUCGGAACGUACACAGGUGUUGCAUGGCU
Molecule: ribosomal RNA, 518 nt
Filed under: uncultured bacterium
Lineage: Bacteria
Description: bacterial SSU rRNA
Rfam family: Bacterial small subunit ribosomal RNA
Source: RNAcentral